GACGAACGCUGGCGGCGUGCUUAACACAUGCAAGUCGAACGGAAAGGCCCUGCUUGCCGGGUACUCGAGUGGCGAACGGGUGAGUAACACGUGAGUGAUCUGCCCUUCACUUCGGGAUAAGCCUGGGAAACUGGGUCUAAUACCGGAUAGGUGCCAUUUUUAGUGUGAUGGUUGGAAAGUUUUUUCGGUGUAGGAUGAGCUCGCGGCCUAUGAGCUUGUUGGUGGGGUAAUGGCCUACCAAGGCGGCGACGGGUAGCCGGCCUGAGAGGGUGGACGGCCACAUUGGGACUGAGAUACGGCCCAGACGCCGACGGGAGGCAGGAGUGGUGAAUAUUGCACAAUGGGCGCAAGCCUGAUGCAGCGACGCCGCGUGGGGGAUGACGGCCUUCGGGUUGUAAACUCCUUUCGCUAGGGAUGAAGCUUUUGUGACGGUACCUAGAGAAGAAGCACCGGCUAACUACGUG
RNAcentral lists this ribosomal RNA (464 nucleotides) under uncultured bacterium. RNAcentral describes it as "partial 16S ribosomal RNA". It matches the Rfam family "Bacterial small subunit ribosomal RNA", at positions 28 to 507 of the family's 1533-position model. The record is from RNAcentral.